Molecule: ribosomal RNA, 536 nt
Filed under: uncultured bacterium
Lineage: Bacteria
Description: bacterial SSU rRNA
Rfam family: Bacterial small subunit ribosomal RNA
Source: RNAcentral
UGCAGUCGAACGGCAGCACGGGAGCUUGCUCCUGGUGGCGAGUGGCGAACGGUUUAGUAAUAUAUCGGAACGUAUCCAAUAAUGGGGGAUAACUAUUUCGAAAGCUUGGCUAAUACCGCAUACGCCCUGAGGGGGAAAGCUAGGGAUCUUCGGACCUGGCGUUGAUGGAGCGGCCGAUAUCUGAUUAGCUAGUUGGUGGGGUAAAGGCCCACCAAGGCGACGAUCAGUAGCUGGUCUGAGAGGACGACCAGCCACACUGGAACUGAGACACGGUCCAGACUCCUACGGGAGGCAGCAGUGGGGAAUUUUGGACAAUGGGCGCAAGCCUGAUCCAGCCAUUCCGCGUGAGUGAAGAAGGCCUUCGGGUUGUAAAGCUCUUUCGCAAGGGAAGAAAAAUUACGCUCUAACAUAGCGUGAUGAUGACGGUACCUUGAUAAGAAGCACCGGCUAACUAUGUGCCACCAGCCGCGGUAAUACGUAGGGUGCGAGCGUUAAUCGGAAUUACUGGGCGUAAAGCGUGCGCAGGCUGUUUUGUA